RNAcentral lists this ribosomal RNA (507 nucleotides) under uncultured bacterium. RNAcentral's name for it is "partial 16S ribosomal RNA". The record is from RNAcentral.
GGAGUUAGCCGGUGCUUCUUCUGUGAGUGAUGUCCUUCCUGCCGGCUAUUAACCCGCAGGCCUUCUUCCUCACUGAAAGUGCUUUACAACCCGAAGGCCUUCUUCACACACGCGGCAUGGCUGGAUCAGGGUUGCCCCCAUUGUCCAAUAUUCCCCACUGCUGCCUCCCGUAGGAGUCUGGGCCGUGUCUCAGUCCCAGUGUGGCUGAUCAUCCUCUCAGACCAGCUACGGAUCGUCGCCUUGGUGAGCCGUUACCUCACCAACCAGCUAAUCCGACAUAGGCUCAUCCGAUAGCGCGAGGCCCGAAGGUCCCCCGCUUUCCCCCGUAGGGCGUAUGCGGUAUUAGCCUGGGUUUCCCCAGGUUAUCCCCCACUACCGGGCAGAUUCCUAUGCAUUACUCACCCGUCCGCCGCUCGCCACCAGGGAGCAAGCUCCCCGUGCUGCCGCUCGACUUGCAUGUGUUAGGCCUGCCGCCAGCGUUCAAUCUGAGCCAAAAUCGAACCCUGA